This 1341-nucleotide ribosomal RNA is filed under the name uncultured bacterium. RNAcentral describes it as "partial 16S ribosomal RNA". It matches the Rfam family "Bacterial small subunit ribosomal RNA", at positions 28 to 1381 of the family's 1533-position model. The record is from RNAcentral.
GACGAACGCUGGCGGCGUGCUUAACACAUGCAAGUCGAACGGUAAGGCUCCAGCUUGCUGGGGUACACGAGUGGCGAACGGGUGAGUAACACGUGGGUGACCUGCCCUGCACUUCGGGAUAAGCCUGGGAAACUGGGUCUAAUACCGGAUAGGACCGCACCGUGAGGGUGUGGUGGAAAGUUUUUUCGGUGUGGGAUGGGCCCGCGGCCUAUCAGCUUGUUGGUGGGGUAAUGGCCUACCAAGGCGGCGACGGGUAGCCGGCCUGAGAGGGUGGACGGCCACAUUGGGACUGAGACACGGCCCAGACUCCUACGGGAGGCAGCAGUGGGGAAUAUUGCACAAUGGGCGGAAGCCUGAUGCAGCGACGCCGCGUGGGGGAUGACGGCCUUCGGGUUGUAAACUCCUUUCACCAUCGACGAAGGGUUUCUGACGGUAGAUGGAGAAGAAGCACCGGCUAACUACGUGCCAGCAGCCGCGGUAAUACGUAGGGUGCGAGCGUUGUCCGGAAUUACUGGGCGUAAAGAGCUCGUAGGUGGUUUGUCGCGUCGUCUGUGAAAUUCCGGGGCUUAACUCCGGGCGUGCAGGCGAUACGGGCAUAACUUGAGUACUGUAGGGGAGACUGGAAUUCCUGGUGUAGCGGUGAAAUGCGCAGAUAUCAGGAGGAACACCGGUGGCGAAGGCGGGUCUCUGGGCAGUAACUGACGCUGAGGAGCGAAAGCAUGGGGAGCGAACAGGAUUAGAUACCCUGGUAGUCCAUGCCGUAAACGGCGGGCGCUAGGUGUGGGUUUCCUUCCACGGGAUCCGUGCCGUAGCUAACGCAUUAAGCGCCCCGCCUGGGGAGUACGGCCGCAAGGCUAAAACUCAAAGGAAUUGACGGGGGCCCGCACAAGCGGCGGAGCAUGUGGAUUAAUUCGAUGCAACGCGAAGAACCUUACCUGGGCUUGACAUAUACAGGAUCGCGCCAGAGAUGGUGUUUCCCUUGUGGCUUGUAUACAGGUGGUGCAUGGUUGUCGUCAGCUCGUGUCGUGAGAUGUUGGGUUAAGUCCCGCAACGAGCGCAACCCUUGUCUUAUGUUGCCAGCACGUUGUGGUGGGGACUCGUAAGAAACUGCCGGGGUUAACUCGGAGGAAGGUGGGGAUGACGUCAAAUCAUCAUGCCCCUUAUGUCCAGGGCUUCACACAUGCUACAAUGGUCGGUACAGUGGGUUGCCAGUCCGUGAGGGCGAGCUAAUCCCGCAAAGCCGGUCUCAGUUCGGAUCGGGGUCUGCAACUCGACCCCGUGAAGUCGGAGUCGCUAGUAAUCGCAGAUCAGCAACGCUGCGGUGAAUACGUUCCCGGGCCU